AGGGAAGCAAGCCGGUGACGGUAAGCAAACCCCAAAAAUAUCGUCUCAGUUCGGACUGUAGUCUGCAACUCGACUACACGAAGCCGGAAUUGCUAGUAAUGGCAGGUCAGCAUACUGCCGUGAAUACGUUCCCGGGCCUUGUACACACCGCCCGUCACACCAUGAGAGUUGGGAAUACCCGAAGCCUGUGAGCUAACCAAAAGGAGGGAGCCGUCGAAGGCAGGUCUGAUAACUGGGGUGAAGUCGUAACAAGGUAAC
This 258-nucleotide ribosomal RNA is filed under the name uncultured bacterium. RNAcentral's name for it is "partial 16S ribosomal RNA". It matches the Rfam family "Bacterial small subunit ribosomal RNA", at positions 1243 to 1500 of the family's 1533-position model. The record is from RNAcentral.